GUCCUCGUGGCCUUGCACUUGGGUCUCUUUGUUGCUCAGUGGGUGUGUUCACACUACCCUCAGUAGGUCCUCACUGCCUGUGCCUGGAGCCUGGUGAACUCAGUCCACACAUGUUCUGCUGCCCAGCCCCUGCCGAGUCUCCUGUUCUCACUCACAUCAGAAGCUGAGUGAGAACACCAUAUCCAUUCAGUGACUUACCCAAAGAUAUUUUUCUUCCGGGCAAAUUCCGAAGCACCCGCAUACUUCAUAGCUUAUGAUCCCUAAUCGCUGUAACCCCACAACUCAGAACCUUUCACUUUGACUCUGCAACCUGAGCUCACUGGAUCCAGCCCUGGAAGAAAGGGGAAGAAAGAAGGGACUGUACCCUCAGUUGUUCCCCUUAUGUUAGGACUCAGAACCUGGGGAGGAGAGACCGAGGGCCUGGAGCCACUGAGAAGGACAAGAAGGGUAGGCAGGGAGGC
RNAcentral lists this long non-coding RNA (461 nucleotides) under Homo sapiens (human). RNAcentral's name for it is "non-protein coding lnc-HIF1AN-5:1". The record is from RNAcentral. Lineage: Eukaryota; Metazoa; Chordata; Mammalia; Primates; Hominidae.